This 250-nucleotide ribosomal RNA is filed under the name uncultured bacterium. RNAcentral describes it as "partial 16S ribosomal RNA". It matches the Rfam family "Bacterial small subunit ribosomal RNA", at positions 524 to 773 of the family's 1533-position model. The record is from RNAcentral.
UACGGAGGGUGCAAGCGUUGUUCGGAAUUACUGGGCGUAAAGGGCGUGUAGGCGGUGUGGUAAGUCAGAUGUGAAAGCCCUGGGCUUAACCCAGGAAGUGCAUUUGAAACUGCCAUGCUUGAGUAUGGGAGAGGAGAGUGGAAUUCCCAGUGUAGAGGUGAAAUUCGUAGAUAUUGGGAGGAACACCCGUGGCGAAGGCGACUCUCUGGACCAAUACUGACGCUGAGGCGCGAAAGCGUGGGGAGCAAAC